AGGCCCAAAGAGAGAGGCAGGGUCUGAUUUGCAGCUUCUGUGGCAGCUGUUGAUCAGCUGUUGCCUCUCUUUCUCUUCA
This is a non-coding RNA of Myotis brandtii (Brandt's bat), 79 nucleotides long. Lineage: Eukaryota; Metazoa; Chordata; Mammalia; Chiroptera; Vespertilionidae. The record is from Rfam.